Molecule: ribosomal RNA, 276 nt
Filed under: Triticum aestivum (bread wheat)
Lineage: Eukaryota; Viridiplantae; Streptophyta; Magnoliopsida; Poales; Poaceae
Description: partial small subunit ribosomal RNA
Source: RNAcentral
AUGACGACGCAUGGAGAUGUUUUCAAGAUGAAGCUACUCAUGUACCUCAUCUUAGCUGUUUUCGCGCCGACCACCUCUCUUCGCCCAAGCAAGAAAUGCUUCCCCAUCCUGGCGGAUCUGGGAAAUGUGAAGAACAUGAAUUGGUGUAAGUUUAUUGCCGACUUCCUGCACGAUGCAUUCUCAAGCAAGAUGUACCAAAAGGGUUGUCCACUGCAUUUAAUGCUCAUGUACGUCGACUGUCUUGACCUGUCCACCGUGGAUUUCACUGGGACAUGA